GGUGACCAGCGGAGGGAUCAUUACAGAGUUGCAAAACUCCCAAACCAUUGUGAACGUCACCGUAUCGUUUCUUCGGCGGGCGGCUCCCCACCCGGGGCCGCGCCUACCCCUCACGGGGUGGCAGCCCGCCGGAGGCGUCGAAACUCUCAGCAUCUUAUGGCAUCUCUGAGUAACUUACAAAAUAAGUUAAAACUUUCAACAACGGAUCUCUUGGUUCUGGCAUCGAUGAAGAACGCAGCGAAAUGCGAUAAGUAAUGUGAAUUGCAGAAUUCAGUGAAUCAUCGAAUCUUUGAACGCACAUUGCGCCCGCUAGUAUUCUGGCGGGCAUGCCUGUUCGAGCGUCAUUUCAACCAUCAAGCCCCACGGCUUGUGUUGGGGCCCUGCGGCCGUCCGCAGCCCCCGGAAUGCAGUGGCGGGCUCGUUGUCACCCCGAGUGCAGUAAUACUCUUCUCUCUGGGCGUGGCGGCGGGUUCCGGCCGUGAAACAACCAAACUUAUCAAGGUUGACCUCGGAUCAGGUAGGAAUACCCGCUGAACUUAA
RNAcentral lists this ribosomal RNA (540 nucleotides) under Sordariomycetes sp. RNAcentral describes it as "eukaryotic LSU rRNA". The stretch from base 191 to 344 matches the Rfam family "5.8S ribosomal RNA". The record is from RNAcentral. Lineage: Eukaryota; Fungi; Ascomycota; Sordariomycetes.